CGCCCGUCGCUCCUACCGAUUGGGUGUGCUGGUGAAGUGUUCGGAUCGGCGGCCGCCGGCGCGCGAGCGCCGGCUGCCGUUGAGAAGUUCAUUAAACCCUCCCACCUAGAGGAAGGAGAAGUCGUAACAAGGUCUCC
This 137-nucleotide ribosomal RNA is filed under the name uncultured Trebouxiophyceae. RNAcentral's name for it is "partial small subunit ribosomal RNA". It matches the Rfam family "Eukaryotic small subunit ribosomal RNA", at positions 1670 to 1804 of the family's 1831-position model. The record is from RNAcentral. Lineage: Eukaryota; Viridiplantae; Chlorophyta; Trebouxiophyceae.